This 450-nucleotide ribosomal RNA is filed under the name uncultured bacterium. RNAcentral describes it as "partial 16S ribosomal RNA". It matches the Rfam family "Bacterial small subunit ribosomal RNA", at positions 354 to 796 of the family's 1533-position model. The record is from RNAcentral.
GUGGGGAAUUUUGGACAAUGGGCGCAAGCCUGAUCCAGCAAUGCCGCGUGCAGGAAGAAGGCCUUCGGGUUGUAAACUGCUUUUGUACGGAACGAAACGGUCCUGGUUAAUACCUGGGGCUAAUGACGGUACCGUAAGAAUAAGCACCGGCUAACUACGUGCCAGCAGCCGCGGUAAUACGUAGGGUGCGAGCGUUAAUCGGAAUUACUGGGCGUAAAGCGUGCGCAGGCGGUGCUGUAAGACAGGCGUGAAAUCCCCGGGCUCAACCUGGGAAUUGCGCUUGUGACUGCAGUGCUGGAGUACGGCAGAGGGGGAUGGAAUUCCGCGUGUAGCAGUGAAAUGCGUAGAUAUGCGGAGGAACACCGAUGGCGAAGGCAGCCCCCUGGGCCUGUACUGACGCUCAUGCACGAAAGCGUGGGGAGCAAACAGGAUUAGAUACCCCGGUAGUCC